RNAcentral lists this ribosomal RNA (216 nucleotides) under Glomeromycotina sp. RNAcentral's name for it is "partial small subunit ribosomal RNA". The stretch from base 40 to 216 matches the Rfam family "Eukaryotic small subunit ribosomal RNA", at positions 686 to 864 of the family's 1831-position model. The record is from RNAcentral. Lineage: Eukaryota; Fungi; Glomeromycota.
GGGUCAGUAGGUUGGUCGUGCCACCGGUACGUACUGGUCUCACUGAUUCCUCCUUCCUGAAGAACCGUAAUGCCAUUAAUUUGGUGUUGCGGGGAAACAGGACUGCUACUUUGAAAGAAUUAGAGUGUUUAAAGCAAGCUAACGCUUGAAUACAUUAGCAUGGAAUAAUGAAAUAGGACGAUCGAUCCUAUUUUGUUGGUUUCUAGGAUUGACGUA